This 584-nucleotide ribosomal RNA is filed under the name uncultured bacterium. RNAcentral's name for it is "bacterial SSU rRNA". It matches the Rfam family "Bacterial small subunit ribosomal RNA", at positions 102 to 672 of the family's 1533-position model. The record is from RNAcentral.
ACGGGUGAGUAACACGUGGGUAACCUGCCCUUGAGACUGGGAUAACUUCGGGAAACCGGAGCUAAUACCGGAUAAUAUAAGGAACCUCCUGGUUCCUUGUUGAAAGAUGGUUUCGGCUAUCACUUAAGGAUGGGCCCGCGGCGCAUUAGCUAGUUGGUGAGGUAACGGCUCACCAAGGCGACGAUGCGUAGCCGACCUGAGAGGGUGAUCGGCCACACUGGGACUGAGACACGGCCCAGACUCCUACGGGAGGCAGCAGUAGGGAAUCUUCCACAAUGGACGAAAGUCUGAUGGAGCAACGCCGCGUGAGUGAUGAAGGCCUUCGGGUCGUAAAGCUCUGUUGUUAGGGAAGAACAAGUGCGAGAGUAACUGCUCGCACCUUGACGGUACCUAACCAGAAAGCCACGGCUAACUACGUGCCAGCAGCCGCGGUAAUACGUAGGUGGCAAGCGUUAUCCGGAAUUAUUGGGCGUAAAGCGCGCGCAGGUGGUUUCUUAAGUCUGAUGUGAAAGCCCACGGCUCAACCGUGGAGGGUCAUUGGAAACUGGGGAACUUGAGUGCAGAAGAGGAAAGUGGAAUUCCAA